CAAAACCCAAAACUGCCCUCUCUCUUCUCUCUCUUCUCUCCUCGACUCCGAGACUGUCGAGUCUGUGAUAAGGGCGAUCGGAGAGUGUGCCGAGGGGGCGAUCACUGUGUGGAGACGGAGCGACGGUGAGGCGAGGCCCAAGGCCGAGAUGUUCGUCGGGAUCUUGAAUUCGUUGGAUGUGAUGGCGUUCAUUGCUAAGGCUGGUGGGGAUCAGGAUAAGGUCAUAAGGACGCCGAUGUCUGAGGUUGUGAAGCCAAAUCAAGGCCUACUGAAGGAGGUCGAUCCCGGGACUAGGCUGGUUUUCUUGGAAAGAAAUCCAUCCAAUAGAAAAGCACACAUCAGCUUCAUUUUUCAAUAGGAAGUCUUAGAGUAGAACUCCUGAAAUAUACAUGGAAGUAAGAAACUCAAACAUGAGGAAAUUUCAUGCCGACCCACAUACACAACUAGAGGUGAAAGAUCUGGAGGAGAUUUCUUUUGGUGACUUAGAAAUGAAGCAAGAAGAUAUGGGAGAAAGUUGUUCUAAAAAUUGAUUGGUUGAACCAAAACUUGUGUGCCACUUGUAUUGUGUAUAUUAGUUUAGUUGUGUAAACAAUUAUUAUGGAUGACAAAUAAUGCAACAAGCUUGACCUUUAUUGUUCUUAUUGUA
This is a long non-coding RNA of Asparagus officinalis (garden asparagus), 646 nucleotides long. RefSeq lists it as uncharacterized. The record is from RefSeq and is a predicted model, not a curated record. The transcript has 2 exons. Lineage: Eukaryota; Viridiplantae; Streptophyta; Magnoliopsida; Asparagales; Asparagaceae.